CAGGAUGAACGCUAGCUACAGGCUUAACACAUGCAAGUCGAGCGGAACACCUUCGGGUGUUUAGCGGCAGACGGGUGAGUAACACGUAUCCAACCUUCCCUUACUCGGGUAUAGCCUCGGGAAACUGAGAGUAAUCCCCGAUGUGGUGCACUGAAAGCAUUUUUCGCGCACGAAAGAUUAAUCGGUAAGGGGUGGGGAUGCGUUCCAUUAGGUAGUAGGCGGGGUAACGGCCCACCUAGCCGAUGAUGGAUAGGGGUUCUGAGAGGAAGGUCCCCCACAUUGGAACUGCGACACGGUCCAAACUCCUACGGGAGGCAGCAGUGAGGAAUAUUGGUCAAUGGGCGAGAGCCUGAACCAGCCAAGUAGCGUGCAGGAAUGACGGCCCUAUGGGUUGUAAACUGCUUUUGUGCGGGAAUAACGGUCGCCACGUGUGGUGAUGUGCAUGUACCGUACGAAUAAGGAUCGGCUAACUCCGUGCCAGCCGCGGC
RNAcentral lists this ribosomal RNA (488 nucleotides) under uncultured bacterium. RNAcentral describes it as "bacterial SSU rRNA". It matches the Rfam family "Bacterial small subunit ribosomal RNA", at positions 25 to 518 of the family's 1533-position model. The record is from RNAcentral.